AACGAACGCUGGCGGCAUGCCUAACACAUGCAAGUCGAACGAGACCUUCGGGUCUAGUGGCGCACGGGUGCGUAACGCGUGGGAACCUGCCCUUAGGUUCGGAAUAACUCCCCGAAAGGGGUGCUAAUACCGGAUAAUGUCUUCGGACCAAAGAUUUAUCGCCUUUGGAUGGGCCCGCGUUGGAUUAGCUAGUUGGUAGGGUAAAAGCCUACCAAGGCGACGAUCCAUAGCUGGUCUGAGAGGAUGAUCAGCCACACUGGGACUGAGACACGGCCCAGACUCCUACGGGAGGGAGCAGUGGGGAAUAUUGGACAAUGGGCGAAAGCCUAAUCCAGCAAUGCCGCGUGAGUGAUGAAGGCCUUAGGGUUGUAAAGCUCUUUUACACGGGAUGAUAAUGACAGUACCGGGAGAAUAAGCUCCGGCUAACUCCGUG
Molecule: ribosomal RNA, 433 nt
Filed under: uncultured bacterium
Lineage: Bacteria
Description: partial 16S ribosomal RNA
Rfam family: Bacterial small subunit ribosomal RNA
Source: RNAcentral